UAUUGCGACAAUGGGCGAGAGCCUGACGCAGCAACGCCGCGUGCGGGAUGACGGCCUUCGGGUUGUAAACCGCUUUUCAGGGGGAAGAAAAUGACGGUACCUCCAGAAGAAGCACCGGCCAACUACGUGCCAGCAGCCGCGGUAAUACGUAGGGUGCGAGCGUUAUCCGGAAUCAUUGGGCGUAAAGAGCUCGUAGGCGGUUCAACAAGUCGGCUGUGAAAGUCCGGGGCUCAACCCCGGAAUUGCAGUCGAUACUGUUGUGACUUGAGUCCGGUAGAGGAGAAUGGAAUUCCCGGUGUAGCGGUGGAAUGCGCAGAUAUCGGGAGGAACACCAGUAGCGAAGGCGGUUCUCUGGGCCGGCACUGACGCUGAGGAGCGAAAGCGUGGGGAGCAAACA
Molecule: ribosomal RNA, 397 nt
Filed under: uncultured bacterium
Lineage: Bacteria
Description: bacterial SSU rRNA
Rfam family: Bacterial small subunit ribosomal RNA
Source: RNAcentral